CAGUCGCCGCGGUAAUGCGUAGGUGGCGAGCGUUGUCCGGAUUUAUUGGGCGUAAAGGGAGUGUAGGCGGUCUUUUAAGUCUGAUGUGAAAGCCCACGGCUCAACCGUGGAGGGUCAUUGGAAACUGGGAGACUUGAGUGCAGAAGAGGAGAGCGGAAUUCCAUGUGUAGCGGUGAAAUGCGUAGAUAUAUGGAGGAACACCAGUGGCGAAGGCGGCUCUCUGGUCUGUAACUGACGCUGAGGCUCGAAAGCGUGGGGAGCAAACAGGAUUAGAUACCCCUGUAGUCCCUGUCUCUUAUAU
RNAcentral lists this ribosomal RNA (301 nucleotides) under uncultured bacterium. RNAcentral describes it as "partial 16S ribosomal RNA". It matches the Rfam family "Bacterial small subunit ribosomal RNA", at positions 509 to 809 of the family's 1533-position model. The record is from RNAcentral.